RNAcentral lists this ribosomal RNA (452 nucleotides) under uncultured bacterium. RNAcentral's name for it is "bacterial SSU rRNA". It matches the Rfam family "Bacterial small subunit ribosomal RNA", at positions 340 to 783 of the family's 1533-position model. The record is from RNAcentral.
UACGGAAGGCAGCAGUGGGGAAUAUUGCACAAUGGGCGCAAGCCUGAUGCAGCCAUGCCGCGUGUAUGAAAAAGGCCUUCGGGUUGUAAAGUACUUUCAGUCGUGAGGAAGGUGUUAAGGUUAAUAACCUUAGCAAUUGACGUUAGCGACAGAAGAAGCACCGGCUAACUCCGUGCCAGCAGCCGCGGUAAUACGGAGGGUGCGAGCGUUAAUCGGAAUUACUGGGCUAAAGGGCACGCAGGCGGUUAAUUAAGUUGGAUGUGAAAUCCCCGGGCUUAACCUGGGAAUGGCAUUCAAGACUGGUUAGCUAGAGUCUUGUAGAGGGGGUUAGAAGUUCCAUGUGUAGCGGUGAAAUGCGUAGAGAUGUGGAGGAAUACCGGUGGCGAAGGCGGCCCCUGGACAAAGACUGACGCUCGAUGUGCGAAAGCGUGGGGAGCAAACAGGGAUUAGAU